RNAcentral lists this transfer RNA (243 nucleotides) under Metarhizium anisopliae. RNAcentral's name for it is "tRNA-Leu". The record is from RNAcentral. Lineage: Eukaryota; Fungi; Ascomycota; Sordariomycetes; Hypocreales; Clavicipitaceae.
GCUAAUUUAUCUUAAGAAAUUAAAAGCUUAAAAAGUACUUUUAAUACUUAUAAAUUUAUAAAAAAAUAAAAAAAUUUACUUAAACUUAUUAUAUAAUAUUAAAUAUAAAAAAAAUUUACUUUUACUUAAAAUAUUAAUAUUAAUUAAUAAAAAUAUUAUUUUAAAUAUAAAAGUAUAUUAAUAAUAAUAUAAUAUUUAGAAGUAUUAAUUUUUUAAUUAUUAGUUUUUUUUUAAUUAUUAGUU